AUGGAAGAUGAAUGGCUUGAACAUGCACAUGGUUCUUGAGAGCAGAGGCAGGCGGAUGAAGAGCAAUGGCUGAGCUCCAGCUCAAGAAGCUCUUCAACUCCAUGGUGCCUUUCCUGGCCUCCUAGCCUCCUAGGUGGUUUGGCCGAGGUACACAGAAACCGGCAAGUCACAAAACGGCAAUGGUGAACUCCAGCAGGAGUCC
RNAcentral lists this small RNA (202 nucleotides) under Leersia perrieri. RNAcentral describes it as "sRNA enod40". It matches the Rfam family "Early nodulin 40". The record is from Rfam by way of RNAcentral. Lineage: Eukaryota; Viridiplantae; Streptophyta; Magnoliopsida; Poales; Poaceae.